AGAGUACCCGUCUUUUUUGCAGGUUGAAACCUGAGUGGGGAUUUGAAGAAAAGUGAAUUAGCUCGGCCAGUUUCUUUUAGAGGAUCAUCCAAACAGAGGACAAAAGUAGAUCUUGCAACUUCUUUUUUCAUUACUUCUUGGAUCGCUCUCUUCGUGCAUCCUUAGAUGCGAUAGAAACCAAAGUAAAGACAGCUAGGACCAAAUUAUUUAGAGAGCAAUAAUCAAUCCUGCUCCCUUUAGACAGGAUUGCAAGCAUGGAAAAACCUCAGUCAGCUUCUCCUGAGAGGGUGCAGCACAAAGUAUAUCAUCCAUAUAAUGAACAAUAUAGCAUUUAGGAAAUGGUUGUUGGCCUGGCUCAACAACUGAAGCCACAUAAUACUGACACAAGUUUCACAGCACCUGUUCUUCAGCCCCAUCCUACUGAGAUGGUCUUGGCAAGUGACACCCAACGUGGGGCAGGCAGGCAUGAAGAACGAAGGACCGUGACGACAACAGAAUUUUUAUUCACUAGAAGUGCUGUGGAGCCCUGAGAAGAAGGGAGGAAUUUUGGGUGACUACGCUAAAGAAAUCCUGCAGUAUAUCACUCCAUGAUGAAUUCUUCCAAAUCAGCCUAUUUAGAUUACUUUGGCAGAAUCCAUGGAAUUCUACUGUAUAAAAAAUUUAUCGAAUAUUGGAAUGAUGUGGAGACAUUUGAGGCAAGACCAGAUGACCUUGUCAUUGUCACCUAUCCCAAAUCUGGCACAACGUGGGUUAGUGAAAUUGUGUACAUGAUUUAUACAGAGGGCGAUGUGGAAAAGUGCAAAGAAGAUACCAUUUUUAAUCGAAUUCCUUACCUGGAAUGCAGAACUGAAAAUGUAAUGAAUGGAGUAAAACAAUUAAAACAGAUGGCAUCUCCUAGAAUAGUGAAGUCUCAUCUGCCACCUGAGCUUCUUCCAGUCUCGUUUUGGGAAAAGAACUGUAAGAUCAUCUAUGUUUGCCGGAAUGCCAAGGAUGUGGUCGUUUCUUAUUACUAUUUCUUUCUAAUGGUGACUGCUAAUCCGGAUCCUGGUUCUUUCCAAGAUUUUGUGGAGAAGUUCAUGGAUGGAGAAGUUCCUUAUGGUUCCUGGUAUAAACAUACAAAAUCCUGGUGGGAAAAGAGAACGAAUCCACAAGUGCUGUUUAUUUUCUAUGAAGACAUGAAGGAGAAUAUCAGAAAAGAGGUGAUGAGAUUGAUAGAAUUUCUGGGAAGGAAGGCAUCAGAUGAGCUUGUGGACAAGAUUAUAAAACAUACUUCAUUCCAAGAGAUGAAGAACAAUCCAUCUACCAAUUACACAACACUUCCAGAUGAAGUCAUGAACCAAAAAGUAUCUGCCUUUAUGAGAAAGGGGAUUGCAGGAGACUGGAAGAAUUACUUUACAGUAGCCCUGAAUGAGAAAUUUGACAUUCACUAUGAGCAGCAAAUGAAGGGGUCUACACUGAAGUUACGAACAGAGAUCUAGGAAAGUUUUUGUGGUUACAUCUGAGAUUAAAGUGUUAUCACUUCUUACCUCUGUUAUUUCAGACUGGUGGAGAAUGAAUCAGGCUAAAAAGAUCAUGGUUGAGUUCAUGUGAUUUUUGAGAUCUUCAUAUCAAAAACAAGAAAGAUUUUUUUACCUUGUUAUCUGUUUUAAUUUUGUUUCCUUUUUUACAAAUAUUGCAAAAAUCUAUAACCUGUGAGAAUGAUGUGGGAACACACAAAUUGUUCAAGUUGUUAGAGCCUCAUCGAAAAUAACCAAGCAUUCCAAAUUCUUUAAUUGUGUGAUUACUUUUUUCCAUUUAUUGGUACAUUUAGUAUAUACAACAUACAUAUAUAUACAUAUACACAUAAAUAUAUAUUAAUAACUGAACAUGGAUUUUGAAAACCUUGUUGGAAAAAAUUAAAGAAUAAUUAAAUAUGAGGGCAUAACUAGAUCUAUUAUUUCCUUCCUGAUAUUUUCUUUCACCUUCUGCAAAAUGGCUUAAUUUGGAAUUUUAUUUAGUCUAAUGUAAAUGUGAGGCAUAACAGAACUGAUUUCCAGAUGUCUAUAAAUGAUCCCAAUGAGUGUUAUUUAUGCAUAAAUAUCUCCAAAUGAUUUGAAAUAUUUAUGUUCUAGAGUUCUUUCUGUUCUAUAACAAUACAAUACAAUGUUAUAAAUGUAAGCUCUGUAAACUAAAGUUUUUUUUAAUGUAUCUUUUUAUGUAUCUUUUUUUUAUUACUCAAAUGAAUUUUAUCACAUCUGUAGUUGUAUAAUGAUCAUAACAAUUUAAUUUCACAGGAUUUCCAUCCCACAGCCCAGGCACAUCCCCCACCCCCCAAACUGUCUCCUCUGGAGACCAUAAGUUUUUCAAUGUCUGUGAGUCAGCAUCUGUUCUGCAAAGAGUAAACUAAAGUUUUAAAGAAUGUGAUAUUUACCAGUAAAAUAAAAUAAAAACAAAAGU
RNAcentral lists this long non-coding RNA (2436 nucleotides) under Sus scrofa (pig). Its description in RNAcentral is "lncRNA (ENSSSCG00060022776.1)". The record is from RNAcentral. Lineage: Eukaryota; Metazoa; Chordata; Mammalia; Artiodactyla; Suidae.